Molecule: ribosomal RNA, 3053 nt
Filed under: Paenibacillus donghaensis
Lineage: Bacteria; Bacillati; Bacillota; Bacilli; Caryophanales; Paenibacillaceae
Description: bacterial LSU rRNA
Rfam family: Bacterial large subunit ribosomal RNA
Source: RNAcentral
UGGUUAAGCUAAUAAGAGCACACGGAGGAUGCCUAGGCGCCAGGAGCCGACGAAGGACGUGGCGAACAACGAAACUGCCUCGGGGAGCUGUAAGCAAGCUUUGAUCCGGGGGUGUCCGAAUGGGGAAACCCAGCUGUGGUAAUUCGCAGUUACUCCUCUCUGAAUACAUAGGAGAGGUAGAGGCAGACCAGGGGAACUGAAACAUCUAAGUACCCUGAGGAAGAGAAAACAAUAGUGAUUCCGUCAGUAGCGGCGAGCGAACGCGGAACAGCCUAAACCUAAGAGCUUGCUCUUAGGGGUUGUGGGACGUCUCACAUGGAGUUACAAAGGAAUAUGGUAGGCGAAGAGGUCUGGAAAGACCCGCGAUAGAGGUAAAAGCCCUGUAGCCUAAACUGUAUUCUCUCCGAGACGGAUCCCGAGUAGUGCGGGGCACGUGAAACCCCGUAUGAAUCCAGCAGGACCAUCUGCUAAGGCUAAAUACUACCUGGCGACCGAUAGUGAAACAGUACCGUGAGGGAAAGGUGAAAAGCACCCCGGAAGGGGAGUGAAAUAGAACCUGAAACCGUGUGCUUACAAAAAGUCAGAGCCCGUUUUAGGGGUGAUGGCGUGCCUUUUGUAGAAUGAACCGGCGAGUUACGUUUACCAUGCAAGGUUAAGGUGAGAAGCCGGAGCCGCAGCGAAAGCGAGUCUGAAUAGGGCGAUUUGAGUAUGGGGGCGUAGACCCGAAACCGUGUGAUCUACCCCUGUCCAGGGUGAAGGUGCGGUAACACGCACUGGAGGCCCGAACCCACGCAUGUUGAAAAAUGCGGGGAUGAGGUGGGGGUAGCGGAGAAAUUCCAAUCGAACUCGGAGAUAGCUGGUUCUCCCCGAAAUAGCUUUAGGGCUAGCCUCGGUAUAAGAAUAGUGGAGGUAGAGCACUGAUUGGGUGCGGGGCCCGCAAGGGUUACCAAGCUCAGUCAAACUCCGAAUGCCACAUAUUUAUUGCCGGGAGUCAGACAGUGAGUGCUAAGAUCCAUUGUCGAAAGGGAAACAGCCCAGACCAUCAGCUAAGGUCCCCAAGUGUGUGUUAAGUGGGAAAGGAUGUGGAGUUGCACAGACAACCAGGAUGUUGGCUUAGAAGCAGCCACCAUUGAAAGAGUGCGUAAUAGCUCACUGGUCGAGUGACUCUGCGCCGAAAAUGUAACGGGGCUAAACACACCACCGAAGCUAUGGCUAGGAUCGACUUCACUGCUUCUUUGAGCGGUGUUUAUCAGAAAUAGACAUGUAUGCCUGAAAUCAUCCUGGAAGGGAUGAAGGCUAUAUGUUCUACAGGGGAUAAACACAUUUCGAAGCUGGAGUGAAGUCGAUCCUGGGGUAGGGGAGCGUUGUAUAUACGUUGAAGGUAUACCGUGAGGAGUGCUGGAGCGUAUACAAGUGAGAAUGCCGGUAUGAGUAACGAAAAGAUCAGUGAGAAUCUGAUCCGCCGAAAGCCCAAGGUUUCCUGAGGAAGGCUCGUCCGCUCAGGGUAAGUCGGGACCUAAGGCGAGGCCGAAAGGCGUAGUCGAAGGACAACAGUUUGAAAUUACUGUACCACCGUAAUCCGCUAUGAGCGAUGGGGUGACGCAGGAGGGUAGUGACGCGGACUGAUGGAUGUGUCCGUCUAAGCAGUGAGGCUGAUGUGUAGGCAAAUCCGCACAUCGUGAAGGCUGGGCUGUGAUGGGGAGCGAAAAUGUUAGUAGCGAAGGUCAUGAUCUCACACUGCCAAGAAAAGCCUCUAGCCAGGAGAAGGUGCCCGUACCGCAAACCGACACAGGUAGGCGAGAAGAGAAUUCUAAGGCGCGCGGAAGAACUCUCGUUAAGGAACUCGGCAAAAUGACCUCGUAACUUCGGGAGAAGAGGUGCCUCGGUAGGGUGAAUAGCCCGAGGGGGCCGCAGUGAAAAGGCCCAAGCGACUGUUUAGCAAAAACACAGGUCUGUGCGAAGCCGUAAGGCGAAGUAUACGGGCUGACGCCUGCCCGGUGCUGGAAGGUUAAGGGGAGCGGUUAGGAGCAAUCCGAAGCUGUGAACCGAAGCCCCAGUAAACGGCGGCCGUAACUAUAACGGUCCUAAGGUAGCGAAAUUCCUUGUCAGGUAAAUUCUGACCCGCACGAAUGGCGUAACGACUUGGGCGCUGUCUCAACGAGAGAUCCGGUGAAAUUUUAAUACCUGUGAAGAUGCAGGUUACCCGCGACAAGACGGAAAGACCCCAUGGAGCUUUACUGCAGCUUGAUAUUGAAUUUGGGUACGAUCUGUACAGGAUAGGUGGGAGCCAGAGAAGCAGGAGCGCAAGCUUCUGCAGAGGCGCCGUUGGGAUACCACCCUGAUCGUAUCUAGGUUCUAACCUAGUGCCCUAAUCGGGUACGGGGACCGUGUCAGGCGGGCAGUUUGACUGGGGCGGUCGCCUCCUAAAGAGUAACGGAGGCGUUCCAAGGUUCCCUCAGAAUGGUUGGAAAUCAUUCGCAGAGUGCAAAGGCAUAAGGGAGCUUGACUGCGAGACCUACAAGUCGAGCAGGGACGAAAGUCGGACUUAGUGAUCCGGUGGUACCGCAUGGAAGGGCCAUCGCUCAACGGAUAAAAGCUACCCUGGGGAUAACAGGCUUAUCUCCCCCAAGAGUCCACAUCGACGGGGAGGUUUGGCACCUCGAUGUCGGCUCAUCGCAUCCUGGGGCUGAAGUAGGUCCCAAGGGUUGGGCUGUUCGCCCAUUAAAGCGGUACGCGAGCUGGGUUCAGAACGUCGUGAGACAGUUCGGUCCCUAUCUGUCGUGGGCGCAGGAAAUUUGAGAGGAGCUGUCCUUAGUACGAGAGGACCGGGAUGGACGUACCGCUGGUGCACCAGUUGUUCCGCCAGGAGCAUGGCUGGGUAGCUACGUACGGACGGGAUAAGCGCUGAAAGCAUCUAAGCGUGAAGCCCCCCUCAAGAUGAGAUUUCCCAAUUAGUAAGACCCCUUGAAGACGACGAGGUAGAUAGGUUGGAGGUGGAAGUGCAGCAAUGCAUGGAGCUGACCAAUACUAAUCGGUCGAGGGCUUAUCCACAA